Molecule: ribosomal RNA, 254 nt
Filed under: uncultured bacterium
Lineage: Bacteria
Description: partial 16S ribosomal RNA
Rfam family: Bacterial small subunit ribosomal RNA
Source: RNAcentral
UACGUAGGGUGCGAGCGUUAAUCGGAAUUACUGGGCGUAAAGCGUGCGCAGGCGGUCUGUUAAGACCGGUGUGAAAUCCCCGGGCUUAACCUGGGAACUGCAUUGGUGACUGGCAGGCUUUGAGUGUGGCAGAGGGAGGUAGAAUUCCACGUGUAGCAGUGAAAUGCGUAGAGAUGUGGAGGAAUACCGAUGGCGAAGGCAGCCUCCUGGGCCAACACUGACGCUCAUGCACGAAAGCGUGGGGAGCAAACAGG